CGCUGGCGGCGCGCUUAAGCAUGCAAGUCGAACGGCAAGAGGUAGCAAUACCUCCUAGAGUGGCGGACUGGUGAGUAACACGUGGGUGACAUACCCUUCAGAUGGGGAUAGCUAUUAGAAAUAGUAGAUAAUACCGAAUACGAGCACAGAGGUUAGAGAUCUGUGAGGAAAGGAGCUAAGGGCUCCGCUGAAGGAAUGGCCUGCGGCCCAUUAGCUAGUUGGUGAGGUAAGAGCCCACCAAGGCGAUGAUGGGUAUCCGGCCUUAGAGGGUGAACGGACACAUUGGGACUGAGAUACGGCCCAGACUCCUACGGGAGGCAGCAGCUAAGAAUAUUCCGCAAUGGACGAAAGUCUGACGGAGCGACGCCGCGUGGAUGAAGAAGGCCGGAAGGUUGUAAAAUCCUUUUGAAACUGAAGAAUAAGCGUUGUAGGGAAUGACAGCGUGGUGACAGUAGGUUUUGAAUAAGCAACGGCUAAUUACGUGCCAGCAGCAGC
Molecule: ribosomal RNA, 495 nt
Filed under: uncultured bacterium
Lineage: Bacteria
Description: bacterial SSU rRNA
Rfam family: Bacterial small subunit ribosomal RNA
Source: RNAcentral